Molecule: long non-coding RNA, 248 nt
Organism: Tupaia belangeri chinensis (Chinese tree shrew)
Lineage: Eukaryota; Metazoa; Chordata; Mammalia; Scandentia; Tupaiidae
Exons: 3
Source: RefSeq, a predicted model, not a curated record
AUUGUAAAGAUUCAGAUUUUCUGCCUCCAAAUGUAAUGGAAACAAGACUGGUGUGCUGAGCUAUUGAGUGUUCUGUUGUCUGUAGAACACAUGAAGGAAACAGUGAUGCUGUUCACGUCUUGUUCUUCUGAGUUGUUGCAGUUGUAUACUUGAAGUAUUUAAGCUAUGCGUGUGCACUCAUGGAAGAUAGGGUUGGAGGAGUGAGAAAUCAUCUCCCAGGGGGAUGUCUGCACCACAAUCCCUUCUCC